RNAcentral lists this non-coding RNA (651 nucleotides) under Pongo abelii (Sumatran orangutan). The record is from RNAcentral. Lineage: Eukaryota; Metazoa; Chordata; Mammalia; Primates; Hominidae.
AUUCUCGCCCGUCCACUCCCAGCGUAAAGAGGAUUCCGCGACUCGGAGACCGCAAUCUACCCGCCAGUCUCUAUAAUGUAGGCCAGAGCAGCUGGGCUGAAUAAAACAGAGCCGGGGCUCUCCCUUCCCAAAGGCCUACAUCGCCCACCGGUCCGGGCUCGGAGCUCAGCAGAACCAGAGAAGGAGCGGUUGUUGCCGGCACGGAGGAGGGAGAGCUCUUGUGACGCUACGAACCUCUCGAACACCUGACGACUGGGCGCCAGGGCCGGAUGGAUGGUGGAGAGCCACUGCGGCGCAGCUGCCUCCUCUUAACGGGGACACCUAGCAGGAAUGUGCGGAGUGGAGCUAAGGGGAGCGGAUAGAAACCGAGGGAGGGGAAGAGAGCGCGAAGGCUUGGCCGGAAGGAGAGGUUAAAAAGGAAAGGCCUAAAAUGAGGAAGAGAGUUACCACAACAAGCAGUACCUAGUUCCAGUUCUUGGUCCCAGGAGUUUGUGGUUGUUGCUGCUUUCAUCUUCCUCAGCCAACACAAAAGGAAAGUGCCAAGGGGCGAUUCCUAGGACCUUCAGUGCAGUCUCCACCUUGCGGACUUGGCUUAUUUGUGUGCACUCCUUUCUCCAGCCUUUUACACUUGAUGCUCUUGGAUGAAUAGAA